UUGAUUACGUCCCUGCCCUUUGUACACACCGCCCG
This 35-nucleotide ribosomal RNA is filed under the name Steinernema apuliae. Its description in RNAcentral is "partial 18S ribosomal RNA". Lineage: Eukaryota; Metazoa; Nematoda; Chromadorea; Rhabditida; Steinernematidae. The record is from RNAcentral.